Molecule: ribosomal RNA, 467 nt
Filed under: uncultured bacterium
Lineage: Bacteria
Description: partial 16S ribosomal RNA
Rfam family: Bacterial small subunit ribosomal RNA
Source: RNAcentral
ACGAACGCUGGCGGCGUGCUUAACACAUGCAAGUCGAACGGAAAGGCCCUGCUUUUGUGGGGUGCUCGAGUGGCGAACGGGUGAGUAACACGUGAGUAACCUGCCCUUGACUUUGGGAUAACUUCAGGAAACUGGGGCUAAUACCGGAUAGGAGCUCCUGCUGCAUGGUGGGGGUUGGAAAGUUUCGGCGGUUGGGGAUGGACUCACGGCUUAUCAGCUUGUUGGUGGGGUAGUGGCUUACCAAGGCUUUGACGGGUAGCCGGCCUGAGAGGGUGACCGGCCACAUUGGGACUGAGAUACGGCCCAGACUCCUACGGGAGGCAGCAGUGGGGAAUAUUGCACAACGGGCGGAAGCCUGAUGCAGCAACGCCGCGUGCGGGAUGACGGCCUUCGGGUUGUAAACCGCUUUCGCCUGUGACGAAGCGUGAGUGACGGUAAUGGGUAAAGAAGCACCGGCUAACUACGUG